This 1429-nucleotide long non-coding RNA is filed under the name Anas zonorhyncha (Eastern spot-billed duck). Its description in RNAcentral is "lncRNA (ENSAZOG00000013069.1)". The record is from RNAcentral. Lineage: Eukaryota; Metazoa; Chordata; Aves; Anseriformes; Anatidae.
AUGUGUCCCGGCCGGCGCUGCUGGGGCCUCGGCUCCCUCCUGCUGCUGCUGCUGCUGCUCGGGCGAAACCUGGGCUUCCUCGUGGAAAUCCCGCAGGAUGCAGUCACUGGCACCGUGGGGCAGUCCGUGCUCCUGCCCGUCUCCUACAGAUGCAACAGCACCUCUUGCUUCCCGGUGGCAAUUAAUUGGAUGUUUGGUCACACCUCACAAAGAACCAUCUCCUGCACCGUGCACAACUGCUCCCUGGAUGAUGGGGGGGCUCCCAAGAACUGCUCCACAAACUGUUUCCCCCAUCCUGCACAUUGGGGCCGUGUUGAGCUCUUCCCCGAGAACGCAUCCCUGCUGCUGUGGGACCUGCGGCUCAGUGACAACGGGGUGUACACCGUCAGCUUUCAACAGCACCAAAGACAAAUCAGGAACAUCACCCUGACCGUGCUCCAGCAGCCUGUCACCCCAGACCAUUCCAGUGAAGGGCGAAACCUGGGCUUCCUCCUGGAAAUCCCGCAGGAUGCAGUCACUGGCACCGUGGGGCAGUCCGUGCUCCUGCCCGUCUCCUACAGAUGCAACAGCACCUCUUGUUUCCCGGUGGCAAUUCAGUGGCUGUUUAGUCACCCCUUAGAAAUAAUCAUUGCCUGCUCAGUGCAGAACUGCUCCCUGGGUGAUGGGGGGGCUCCCAAGAAUUGCUCCACAAACUGUUACUCCUAUCGUACACACUGGGGCCGUGUUGAGCUCUUCCCCGAGAACGCAUCCCUGCUGCUGCGGGACCUGCGGCUCAGUGACAGCGGGGUGUACACCGUCAGCUUCUUACGGAAAAGACAAAUCAGGAAGAUCACCCUGACCGUGCUCGAGCAGCCUGUCCCCACAGAUCCUACCAGCAAAGGCACUUCUCAACCAGCAGGAAGAAUAGCCACACGCAUCCCUUGCUGCAUCCUCGGAGGCUGCUACUGCUUCAUCCUGCUGCUCCUGCAGCUGCUCUUCCACCUGUGCUGGCUGCGGGGCAGCCGUGGGGAAGCCUGCGGCUGCUGCUGGGGAGAAGGGAGCCAGCGUGCGGGAGCAGCCAGGGCCGGGGCACAAUGAAGUGCCCGCAGUGCCCGGGCACAAGGAAGGCGCUCAGCUGCUGCCUCGGGGCUGCUUUUCCCUCUGGCACCUGCCCCUCUGCUGGACAAACCGGGCUCCCGGCCCCUGCCUGCCCCCAGUGCACAACCACUCCCCACGCUCACAUACCCCUGCUCUGAAAUUCCUGCUCCCAAUUCAAACACCAAAUAAACACCUUUCCUCUGGCCUCCCUGUCUCCAAAGUGCCUGGCAUGGGGCUGCAGCACCACCUGAAGCAGUUCCAGCAGCAAAGCCAGAGCCGGGAGAGAUUCCCAAAGCUUCUGGCCAGCCCCAGGUGGCAGUGGCACCUCGCAGUGGGGCUGGAGACUCCAAAG